Molecule: long non-coding RNA, 510 nt
Filed under: Equus asinus (donkey)
Lineage: Eukaryota; Metazoa; Chordata; Mammalia; Perissodactyla; Equidae
Description: lncRNA (ENSEASG00005034799.1)
Source: RNAcentral
ACACACAAGCACGUAGAGACCUGGGGAAAAAGCAACACUGAGAAAUCUACCCUCUGAAACCGACGAAGAUGGGCAACAGAGGCUAGCUCAGGUGGCAAUUUUUAAGGAAAAAUAAAAGGAAGUGCGUGGAGACCUGGGGAAAAAGCAACACGGAGAAAUCUACCCUCUGAAACUGAGAAAGAAGCGCAACAGAGGCUAGCUCAGGUGGCAAUCUUUAAGCAAAAGAAACACACAAGGGCGUGGAGAGCUGGGGAAAAAGCAACACUGAGAAAUCCACCCUCUGAAACGGACGAAGAUGGGCAACAGAGGCUAGCUCAGGUGGCAAUCUUUAAGCAAAAAAAACACACAAGGGCGUGGAGACCUGGGGAAAAAGCAACACGGAGAAAUCCACCCUCUGAAACUGAGGAAGAUGGGCAAGAGAGGCUACCUCAGGUGGCAAUCGUUAAGCAAAAACAAAGCACAAAGGCGUGGAGCCCUGGGGACAAAGCAACCCUGAAAUAUCCACCCUCU